Molecule: ribosomal RNA, 482 nt
Filed under: uncultured bacterium
Lineage: Bacteria
Description: bacterial SSU rRNA
Rfam family: Bacterial small subunit ribosomal RNA
Source: RNAcentral
UUGAACGCUGGCGGCAUGCUUUACACAUGCAAGUCGAACGGCAGCAGGGGCUUCGGCCUGCUGGCGAGUGGCGAACGGGUGAGUAAUGCAUCGGAACGUACCCAGUCGUGGGGGAUAACGACGCGAAAGCUUAGCUAAUACCGCAUACGCCCUGAGGGGGAAAGCGGGGGACCUUCGGGCCUCGCGCGCUUGGAGCGGCCGAUGUCGGAUUAGCUAGUUGGUGGGGUAAAGGCCUACCAAGGCGACGAUCCGUAGCUGGUCUGAGAGGAUGAUCAGCCACACUGGGACUGAGACACGGCCCAGACUCCUACGGGAGGCAGCAGUGGGGAAUUUUGGACAAUGGGCGCAAGCCUGAUCCAGCCAUGCCGCGUGAGUGAAGAAGGCCUUCGGGUUGUAAAGCUCUUUCAGACGGAAAGAAAUCGCGCCCGUGAAUAGCGGGCGUGGAUGACGGUACUGUAAGAAGAAGCACCGGCUAACUACGU